Molecule: long non-coding RNA, 996 nt
Organism: Zonotrichia leucophrys gambelii
Lineage: Eukaryota; Metazoa; Chordata; Aves; Passeriformes; Passerellidae
Exons: 2
Source: RefSeq, a predicted model, not a curated record
GCAAAGAGAAAGUCCUACUGCUGGUUCCAAACACCUAAUGGGAGAGGAGCACAAAGACAGAUCCAGGCUCUUUGCAGAAGAGCCCAGUGACAGGACAAGCAGCAGUAACCACAAGUUAGAUAAUUUAGAAUUCUUAUUAGAUAUACUGAAAAAUGUUUCCCCUGUGUAGGUGGCCAAAUACUGGAAAGGCUGGAGAUUUCAAAACUGGAAUGGAUCAAACUGACAGGCGGUGCAACUGACAGGCGGUGACCAUGGGAUUUCUUUCAAUCUGGAGUAACAAUGUACAGGAACAGUUCUGCAAUUUCCCACCUGAGAAGACCUGAUAAAGCAGGAGUUGAAUCUCCAGAAAGACACUGGAAAAUCUCAGUUACUCUAGAGAGCUACACACAAACAGCUCACAAGGCUGAACUGUAAGCCCUGCAAACCUAAAAAGGGUUAAAAGCCUUUUCUACAGAAAAAGGAAGAGGUUAGCCCUUAAAGACCAUAUAAGCUGCAAAACCUGGCAGUUGUGGCUUGUUAAACUGCUGGGAGGUGGAACUGGCAGCUGUGCUGCCGAAGUGGGGAAGUCAUAAAGGGAAGCAGAGGGCCCCAGAGGGAGCAGGACAGUUGGGUUUUGCAUUUCUCUGCUUUGGAGAAUUGACUUUGUUUGAAUGAAAAUGGACGCUGCUACUGCUGGAUGCUGAUCCUAGGGACACUUAGUUGGUUUGUUUAUGGAGAGCCAAACAAGGUGACAAUCAGCUGUCCUGGCUUCCACUGUUUUUAGGAUUGUGAAUACAGGAUCUGCACCUGGCUGUACUAAUUUCCCAGGCCUAGACUGAAGUGGGAUGCUAUUUUUUCACCCUUGAAAAAAACACAACCAAACAAAAAAGAGAAAGCAUCACUUACGUUAGUUGCCUGAUCUCAAUUUGGAGCUGAUAAUCUCUUUGCAGGGCUUUGGUUUUGUACUGUGCUUCCUGUUGAGGAACAAAAAUAAACUGGUUACUGCUUAAAAUGAAA